This 487-nucleotide ribosomal RNA is filed under the name uncultured bacterium. RNAcentral's name for it is "bacterial SSU rRNA". It matches the Rfam family "Bacterial small subunit ribosomal RNA", at positions 33 to 507 of the family's 1533-position model. The record is from RNAcentral.
GAGACGCUGGCGGCGUGGGAUUAGGCAUGCAAGUCGAACGGUAGGAUACCUUCGGGUAUCUGAGAGUGGCGAACGGGUGAGUAACACGUAGGUGAUCUACCCUCAAGAUUGGGACAACCCAGGGAAACUUGGGCUAAUACCGGAUGAAAGCAGCAGUGAUGUUGUUUGAAAGGUGGCGUAAGCUGCCGUUUGGGGAUGAGCCUGCGCUCUAUUAGUUAGUUGGCGGGGUAAAGGCCCACCAAGGCGAUGAUAGAUAGGCGGCCUUAACGGGUGGUCGCCCACACUGGGAUUGAGAUACGGCCCAGACUCCUACGGGAGGCAGCAGUCGAGAAUAGUCUACAAUGGCCGAAAGGCUGAUAGUGCGACGCCGCGUGAACGAAGAAGCCCUUCGGGGUGUAAAGUUCUUUUAUAUGUGAGCAGUGCUUUCUAUGUGAACAGCAUGGGGAGAGAGAUAUUAGCAUAUGAAUAAGCAACGGCUAACUCCGUG